Molecule: signal recognition particle RNA, 250 nt
Filed under: Desulfobacteraceae bacterium
Lineage: Bacteria; Pseudomonadati; Thermodesulfobacteriota; Desulfobacteria; Desulfobacterales; Desulfobacteraceae
Description: signal recognition particle sRNA large type
Rfam family: Bacterial large signal recognition particle RNA
About the family: The signal recognition particle (SRP) is a universally conserved ribonucleoprotein involved in the co-translational targeting of proteins to membranes. Archaeal SRP consists of a 7S RNA and homologues of the eukaryotic SRP19 and SRP54 proteins.
Source: RNAcentral
UUGUGCUAGGUGGGGAGCUAGCGGUGCCCUAUUCCCGAAAUCCGCUUAAUGCGGGGCUGAAUUCCCUCUAAAGGGUUUUUAUCCUGGACAUUUUAGAGUCAUCCUGACCGGCCGCUACGUAACAGACAAUCACGAACCUCGUCAGGUCCGGAAGGAAGCAGCGAUAAGUGAUACAGUCUGUGUCGUGGAUUGAUCCCGGUCAAGUUUUGACUUAAAUGUUUCAGAAAAAUAUUCGAUAGAGGGUGCACAA